AGAACGAACGCUGGCGGCAUGCCUAACACAUGCAAGUCGAACGAGACCUUCGGGUCUAGUGGCGCACGGGUGCGUAACGCGUGGGAAUCUGCCCUUGGGUUCGGAAUAACAGUUAGAAAUGACUGCUAAUACCGGAUGAUGACGUAAGUCCAAAGAUUUAUCGCCCAAGGAUGAGCCCGCGUAGGAUUAGCUAGUUGGUGAGGUAAAGGCUCACCAAGGCGACGAUCCUUAGCUGGUCUGAGAGGAUGAUCAGCCACACUGGGACUGAGACACGGCCCAGACUCCUACGGGAGGCAGCAGUGGGGAAUAUUGGACAAUGGGCGAAAGCCUGAUCCAGCAAUGCCGCGUGAGUGAUGAAGGCCUUAGGGUUGUAAAGCUCUUUUACCCGGGAUGAUAAUGACAGUACCGGGAGAAUAAGCUCCGGCUAACUCCGCGCCAGCAGCCGC
RNAcentral lists this ribosomal RNA (446 nucleotides) under uncultured bacterium. RNAcentral describes it as "SSU rRNA". It matches the Rfam family "Bacterial small subunit ribosomal RNA", at positions 26 to 518 of the family's 1533-position model. The record is from RNAcentral.